RNAcentral lists this unclassified non-coding RNA (564 nucleotides) under Hevea brasiliensis (rubber tree). The record is from RNAcentral. Lineage: Eukaryota; Viridiplantae; Streptophyta; Magnoliopsida; Malpighiales; Euphorbiaceae.
AUUGUUCGUGUUAUGACUUUCGCGGUCCAUCACUCGUAGCUCGCUGUGCAAAUACUACACCCGUCUGUUGACUGUGGCAUAUCUACAAACGUAUGGUGAACAAUGCAUGGUAUUGCAUUGGUACUUUUUAAGAUCGAUUAUAUUUUAAUGAUUAUUAAUUGAAGGUCAUUUCCAAUCCCAGCUAUCUGAUCCUUACAUUUCAAAGAGGGAAAAUGGACCUUUCAAAGAGAGAAGAGUCAACUGUUGGUUUGUUGAGGCGAGGUGCCAAUCCACACAAUCUCACCGACAGGGCCAGGGCAAGGAAAAUGCUAGGGGGCUCCAAAUACCAACGUUGCCAAGGAUAAAUAGUUAAAAAGAAUCCCACCCAUUUUUCUAUUGAUUUUUCUCUUUAGAAAAAAACAGGCUGAGAAAGUGGGAGAUUUUUUGUACCAGAAAGAAUACACAUGUACCUGAUCAGCAAUCAAUACAUGUGAUUAUGUGAAGUAUCGUGGAGUACCCAGCAGGCCAGCACCAAGAAAUUUUCUUCUUUCUUUUUUUCUUUUUUUCUUUUCAUUCAGGAACUCC